Molecule: long non-coding RNA, 1425 nt
Organism: Cyprinus carpio carpio
Lineage: Eukaryota; Metazoa; Chordata; Actinopteri; Cypriniformes; Cyprinidae
Source: Ensembl
GGAAACGCGUAACCUAGAGUCCAAAAAUUAGGAGUUACUUUAGUACCUUACCUCUGUCAUUGAAAUAUUCAAAUUUAUUUUAUAUUCUUAAAGUUGGGACCAAAAUCCGUUGUUAAUAUGUAUAUGUAAAAAAAUUGGUCUUUCCAACAGCUGUAGAACUAAUAAACAUGCAGUGCAUGCUGACAUACACAGAAAAUAAUUAAUAGGGGAAAUAAUAGACAUUAAUGUUCUUGAUUAAUGACAAAAAUGAGAAGAAACAUUGAUUAAAUUCUAAAUGUGAUGGGUCAUGACUUGCCCUUUACAGCAUGUUAUGCUUCAUUAAAAAAAAAAAACUUGGGCACACUGCUCUAUUCUUUUCAUGAAUUCAGUAAACACAUAUGUUUGGGAUAUUCAUGGGUAAUGGAGCCUCUGCUAUUAUAAGUCUAAACUACAUCUCUCAUGUAGCUUUGAAUUUGGACAUCAGAACUCCUUUAUAUACAAUAGAAAAGAUAUAUAGCUGUUUAAUACUUGUUAUAAUCUGGCACAGAAAGAUUGUUACUGUUGUAAUUGGAAGACUUAUGCUCUGAUGUGUUCUUAUCCCAGUAUUGGCCAAUUCAUACUGAGAGCAAACUGCCAUCUGACCAGAGUUUUAGUUUUUCUUCUACUGGGACAUGUUUCCUCUCUGGGUUUAGAGCGAGGCAUUCAGUGGCACUCCACUCCUGAUCCUGACCAGCACUCUGUUCUGACCGCUGCAGAAGUCACAGUGCCUCCAUUCUGGGUGACAAUCCUGCUGAACUCUGACCCGAGUGGAAACCGCUGUGACAGAUGACCCGCUGACUCUUUAAAGACCUGUGAACACGAGAGGAUGUCUGUGCUCGCUGAAGUGGCCAUUCAGGGAUCAGAAGAGCGUUUUGUCCCAGAAUGCAGUGCAGAUGGGUGGUACAGAGCCGUUCAGGACACUGCUGGUGUGUGAGAGUGGACUCAGGAUGGCCCGUGCCGGGCACUUCAGCCAUAUAGAGAGAUUGUGUUUGUGUGUUAGUGAGUGUAGAAAACUGAAAACAUGAUUCUGUACUGUGUGGAGGAACCAAUUGCCUGACUGCAGCCCCCAGGAAACACACGCUCAUCAUCAACAACAACUGCUACACCCAAACCCCUCUCUCAGGUCAGAUCUCAGGCUGGAUGUGAUAAGUUGCACCCAGAAUGGGAAGAAUGUCAAAAGGUUGGGACAACAUGCCUUUACUCAUCUAAACCCAGACUAAGUUGUUCAUACCGGUGUUGUGUCAUAUAUAGGACAUACUUGUGUUUCUGGAAUAAAAAAGGUGAUUUAAAGGUAAUAUCUUAAACUCAGAAUUGCAAAAGUCUGAAUUGUAAGAUAAACCCAGCAUUGAGAGGGGAAAAAAAGUCUGAAUUGAGAUAAACUCAGAACUGAGAGGAAAAGAAGUCUAA